UCUACGGGGGGCAGCAGUGGGGAAUAUUGGACAAUGGGCGAAAGCCUGAUCCAGCCAUGCCGCGUGUGUGAAGAAGGCCUUCGGGUUGUAAAGCACUAUCAGUGGGGAAGAAAGCCUUGGGGCUAAUACCCUCGAGGAAGGACAUCACCCACAGAAGAAGCACCGGCUAACUCCGUGCCAGCAGCCGCGGUAAUACGGAGGGUGCGAGCGUUAAUCGGAAUUACUGGGCGUAAAGCGCGCGUAGGCGGUCUGAUAAGCCGGUUGUGAAAGCCCCGGGCUCAACCUGGGAACGGCAUCCGGAACUGUCAGGCUAGAGUGCAGGAGAGGAAGGUAGAAUUCCCGGUGUAGCGGUGAAAUGCGUAGAGAUCGGGAGGAAUACCAGUGGCGAAGGCGGCCUUCUGGACUGACACUGACGCUGAGGUGCGAAAGCGUGGGUAGCAAACAGGAUUAGAUACCCGUGUAGUC
Molecule: ribosomal RNA, 465 nt
Filed under: Vreelandella stevensii
Lineage: Bacteria; Pseudomonadati; Pseudomonadota; Gammaproteobacteria; Oceanospirillales; Halomonadaceae
Description: partial 16S ribosomal RNA
Rfam family: Bacterial small subunit ribosomal RNA
Source: RNAcentral